GAUCAAACGUUGAAGGGCUUCUGACGGAUGCCUUGGCGUAGAGAGGCGAUGAAGGACGUGGCAAGCUGCGAUAAGAACCGGGGAGGCGCUAGCACCCUUUGAUCCGGUUAUUUCCGAAUGGGGAAACCCACCUUUACAGUCUUCCAACUCUGUUUCUUCGGAGACAGCGAUUGGCGGAUUGUUGAAAGGUAUAAUGAGCUGAAUACAUAGGCUUCAUUAAGCGAACCCGGGGAACUGAAACAUCUCAGUACCCGGAGGAAAGGACAUCAACCGAGACUCCCGUAGUAGUGGCGAGCGAACCGGGACCAGGCCAGUGCUCUUGUGAAAUAAAGACGAACGAUCUGGAAAGGUCGGCCAUAGUGGGUGAAAGCCCCGUAGUCAUCAAA
Molecule: ribosomal RNA, 386 nt
Filed under: Brevundimonas nasdae
Lineage: Bacteria; Pseudomonadati; Pseudomonadota; Alphaproteobacteria; Caulobacterales; Caulobacteraceae
Description: partial 23S ribosomal RNA
Rfam family: Bacterial large subunit ribosomal RNA
Source: RNAcentral